RNAcentral lists this ribosomal RNA (301 nucleotides) under uncultured bacterium. Its description in RNAcentral is "partial 16S ribosomal RNA". It matches the Rfam family "Bacterial small subunit ribosomal RNA", at positions 509 to 807 of the family's 1533-position model. The record is from RNAcentral.
CAGUCGCCUCGGUAAUACGAAGGGUGCAAGCGUUACUCGGAAUUACUGGGCGUAAAGCGUGCGUAGGUGGUGGUUUAAGUCCGUUGUGAAAGCCCUGGGCUCAACCUGGGAAUUGCAGUGGAUACUGGGUCACUAGAGUGUGGUAGAGGAUAGUGGAAUUUCCGGUGUAGCAGUGAAAUGCGUAGAGAUCGGAAGGAACAUCUGUGGCGAAGGCGGCCAUCUGGGACAACACUGACGCUGAGGCACGAAAGCGUGGGGAGCAAACAGGAUUAGAUACCCCCGUAGUCCCUGUCUCUUAUAC